Molecule: ribosomal RNA, 253 nt
Filed under: uncultured bacterium
Lineage: Bacteria
Description: partial 16S ribosomal RNA
Rfam family: Bacterial small subunit ribosomal RNA
Source: RNAcentral
UACGUAGAUGGCGAGCGUUGUCCGGAAUUACUGGGUGUAAAGGGAGUGUAGGCGGGAUUGCAAGUUGAAUGUGAAAGGUGUGGGCUCAACCCACAGAGUGCGUUCAAAACUGCAGUUCUUGAGUGAAGUAGAGGCAGGCGGAAUUCCCGGUGUAGCGGUGGAAUGCGUAGAUAUCGGGAGGAACACCAGUGGCGAAGGCGGCCUGCUGGACUUUUACUGACGCUGAGGCUCGAAAGCAUGGGUAGCAAACAGG